UGCGACUUUCCAGGGGGAAACAAGACGCAUCCCGGAUGGAAGCGAGAAGACUGACACAACAGCAGACUGACUGUUUUUCAGUUCUGAUUAGACACUAGUGUUGAGAUGACUGUCUGUCAUGAUAGCAUGUACUGAGUCGGGGCCAGUACCAGAUAAACACAUUAAACUAUAAUCCAUAAACGUAAGGUAACAACAGAGACCUAAUGGUGCUGUGACAGCAACGCUGUGAUUGAGUUUGAGACAGUGAAAAUACAUAUGGUAUGUUGUAUCUGAACAGGUUAGCUUACGCGCUAAAGUUACUUAGCACAGAUGAAAGUUAAAACAAAGACGUUAGCAAACUGUUAAAGCACACAAACCAUCGUCAUAUGAGAAAUCCGACACUAUGACUCUCCACAAGUUGUCCUUCAGGUCGUUAUCCUUGUAAUAUUUGUGUCUUUUAUCAAAAAAAACUCUCCGACACAUAAACAAUCAGCCGGUCGGCCAUGUUGGAUAUACCAGUGAAUCAGACAUCGCAACAACACGCAAUCUGAUUAGUCAGAAGCGGACACACGGUAUGCAAAACUCAAGAAAAUUAGACCGUAAUGCGAAAAAAUAAAUGCCGCAGUAUCGCAGGACGGUAAAACGUCGCUGUUGUGGACGCUUGUGUUGACAGGAUAAAGGUUUGAAAAAAAUAAUUGACGUCCGAAAUAAUCGCAUGAAAAAAACACUCCCGGUAUGUAAGGACCUUGAGGGUGUAGGUGUUAGAUAUGCAGCUUAAGAACCAGUUCCAUUUUUACAAUUCUGGUGUGAAAUAUAUAUUUAUCAAAUGAUUGUUUUAGCCAUCAAGAGUUAGCAAGAUGAGAUAGUUUUAGGUAGAUUGUAGACUGUGGAUUGUUUUGUCCACAGGAGGCGCCACAAUUGACACAAACUUAAAACUACUUAAAAGCUUUAAAGAUUCUGGGCUAAGAGUGUAACUGGAGCAUAGUCUUAAAUCUUACGCUAAUGCCCACAACUGUGAAGAAAAAAAUUACUCACUUCAUACCCGUGAUGUGGUUGGGUGCAAAGGUGCCAUGUUGCUAUCUUAAGGUGCACUACUUUCUGGCCGUUCAUAGGCCAUGUUUGUGAGGUAGUUCGAUGGCCUUGGAAGGUGAAUAACCAAUGAAAACCAAGUCAUGUAUCUUGGUAUUUAAGUCCAAGACAGUAUCAUAUAUCAUAUUGUAUCAUGUCAUAUAUUAUCCUUCCCUAUUGUAUCAUAACGUAGUGUGAUAUAAGGUAUCACACCUCUGUUUUGUUGAGUAGUUUUCACAUGACUUUAACCCACAUCAAUUCAAGACAUCUUUACAUAAAUGGACAAUCAAUUGGUGAGAGACAGGAGCACAACAGCACAGUUAUGUUGGUUCUGGCCUCUGAUGCGUUUUUAACUGCACCUUUCAGAGACUUGCUCACAGGCCAAAGCCACAGUGUUGGGAGUCAAACCUUGAUGCGAAUCAAAUUGCAUCCCCGUCUACAGAAACAUAAAAAUGAGCAACUUAACCGCUAAUUCUUUUUUGAUGUGCAGUCAAUUCACAGGGAGGAAACUCUGCAGUUUAAGGUAAUUAUUGUAACUCAUUAUAACCAGCGGCAUCAAGUGUCGGUCUUAUAGGUCAAGUGGGUACAAUCUGGCGCCUGAGUGUUCGUGGAAGUUAAUAACUACAUUUGCAACAGCAGCGUGGGGAGGUCUUGGGUGCACAAGUGGAAGCGGUUUUCAUUGGCAGCUCAAAUUGAUCCCCUUCAUUUGAAACUCUGACUGAAGUCUCCCAGUUUCCUCUUAAAAUUUACGUUUGCAAUGGUACAAAUACAAAUUUGAUUACUCUCGAGACUGCUGCCGCUCAUUCGAAGCGCCGACGAGGCAAUGGUAGAAAUGAAAGCCGCUUUGAUUGUCAGUCAGGGAGAUUCCUCAAUUAAGACACGCAACAGGUGGGAAAACCAAAAUUGAUGUGACACACUUUCAUUGUUGCUUCCCCAGCUUGGCUGUCAGUUUGUAUCGCUGUCAGGUGUGGGUGACAGCCCACCAACUAAUCUGAAGAGUCAUUCAGACGGCAGUCAUUGGAGCUGGAUGUCUUCAUUGGUGUAGUUUUUGCGAGUGCUUCCUUUGAGUUACUAUCGUGGUUACUAAUGAGGGACCAAUGGUACCGGCCUCCCUGUAAUCAGUGCUCAUUGGACCAGGUUGAACCCAGCAGUUCAAAUGUUGUGCAGUUCGUUUGCUUGCAUGGUUGGUUAGAUGUGUAAUUGUAUUGAAAGUGGUGUCUAGUCAAAAGGGACGGUCAAAAAUCACGUUGUUUUAGCUCUGCGUGACACAGAGAUAGCAAGCAGAGGUCAAUAAACAAGGUUUUGAGAAAUCAUUGAUGAAUGAGCCAAUGAGGAUUCGCUUUGGUGUUUUUAGUUGUUUUAGCAGAUUUGUGUUUAAGCAGAUCACGAAACCAUCAUAUAAAUUAGAGUUAUUGUAUUCCACACUAAUGAGGCUUUUUCAAUCUCAUAAGAUACAAUCCUUGUCUGUGAUUACAGUCGAACAUAAAUGGUGAAAGAACUGUUCUGGCCAGGAUUGCACUCCCUGUGGCCCUGUUAUGGUGGACUUCUACCCGGUCCGUGUUCAGCCUUGAUCCUGUGCAGCUUCAUACCUCUUAAUUCAUCAACACCCACUUCGUUUUCAGAGUGCAGCGCGGCAGAGCACCAUCAGACAGCUGGGGUCACAAGACCAAGGAUUUCCUGCUUUACAUUCAGAAUCGGUGGUUUUCUAUCUCCAUGAUGAGCUCUGGAAACCUCUGACCCGUUGACUCCACGCCUGGCCCUGCUCAUUAGGAUGGUUUGUCGGUGUAGUUAAGCGAAACAUGAUCUGGCCUCUACACAGUGCGUUUAUUGUUUGUUUUUUACAGAGAAAAAAAAAAAAAUUCAAACAGUCUGUCAGUGUCUGACUUCUUCUAACUCUUGAUCUGCCCUUUGUUGAUUGAUGCAUCUUGGCAAAACCCGUCUGUAUCUACAGUGCAAAGAUUAGGAUUGCUGAUGCUGGAGUGAAGUGAAACACAAUGCAGCACAGCCACACAUUGAUAAAAAUGUCUAUGAUUUUAAAUAAAAUUAAAUUUUAUAUGAAAACUUCAAGAUGAUUUCUUUCAAUUCCUGCUGAUAUAACUCAUUAUCCAGCCUCUCUCAAGGUCCCUCCUUAGACCAGUGUAGCUCAGCCAACAUUUUCCACUUAAAUGCCCAGACAAAGCAGAUGCAAUAGACCGAGUCUGUAUGGCCUAUAAAAGCCUUUAUUUUCAUUUAGCCUCCACAAAUUACCUAUAAUUUUCUCCAGCAAAGUGGCGUGAAUUUGAAACCGGUUCGAUUCUGUUAGAUAUUUGGAAAUAAACUAUGAAAGCCUACAGAAAAGUAUAAGUAGAUUGCAAAGGGUUCAGUUUCAUCAAGUCCACAAAUUACCUAUGAAAGGCUCCAGAUUUCAUUUAAAGUCUGAAAAGACGUGUGGUGUUUUUUUAAAGGAUUUAGGUUUAUGAAGUAGCCACAAAAUACCUAAAAACCUCCUGAUUAAUUCUGUGAAUUCGUCAAAGGUGGGUGUUCAUUUGGUAUCCACAAUAAACUAUAAAAUGCACCAGAAAAGCGGUGUGAAACGAUUCAUUACACUUCCCAAAUUUACCAUUUAAGCUUUCAGAGAAGUGGUAGGAGCAGGUUUGGUUUCAUUUAGUGUCCACAAAAUACCCAUUAAAGUCUCAGGGAAAGUGGCGUUAAUUUGAGAAGCUUUUUUGGCACGACUAGAAACCAUGACUUCACAGUGGGAGGCAGCCUUAAAUUCCUUAUUCUGGUAAAUAAAUGGUUUAAUUUUAUUUAAAAGAUGAUGCUGGUCUUCAGUGAGAAUAAUUCAAGUCUGUAAGAAAUUUCCAAUUAGUGUAAAGUCAGUGUGCUGUUGUCGGAAGAGAAUUUAUAGCACUAAAAGUCCUUACACACCAGGCGCGAAUUUGCCAGGCGAAUUAUUCGCCUUUAUUUGCCUUUUUUUAAAACAGCAUAGGGUCAAUGCAAGCUUCCACACCGGCGGCGAUUUUUCCGUGGGGCGAAAAGUGUCUUAUUUUUUCGCUCUUGUGUCGAAUUUUUCGGGGAUUUGCAGGCGAAUAUCUGGACCUGCUAGACCUCUGGCCAAUCAGAAGUCAUGUUGUUGAUGACGUCACAGACCCAUGCGGCUGCAGUUCACACGACACACACCACCACUGGCACCAAGAGCAUCUAUGGGAAAGAGGCUGGUAAUUUAUACGCAUAUUCGCUUCGCGCCCGGUGUGUAUAGGCAAAGCGAUUUUUCGGACCGGCGAAUAUUUUCGCAUCUUCGUCUCGCUUUUUCGCUUUGUUCCGCAAAUUCGCUGGUGUGUAAGGACCUUUAGUCGGUAAGUUUACAUCACACUCGAGAAAACCAAAUCAUUGCCUUUCUCCGAUUAAGACCGGACAACUGAAGUGCAUGUAAACACCUUAGUUCGACUUUGAUCAGAGUUUGAGAACUUCAAAUGGGGUCGGUGAACUCCGAUUAAGACACCCAGAUUACGCGAUUGGAAUUCGAUUUUCUCUACCAUGUAACCAGCAUAGUCGGAGUAUGAUUGGACAAUGCGCAUGCACGUGCACCACGCCCCUAUAACCCCAGAACAAAAACACCAGAGAAGAGGAGUAGUGUGCACCUCAUCUGCAGAAAAAGUAGCGCAUACGUUAUGUUACGACAAAAACAACGCUGUAUGAUGCUUCAUCUUCUUGCUCAAAAAUGCCCAGCAGCAGUUGUAGACACUUUGACGUCUGGCACAGACCUGCUGUUGUUGUUGAAAGGUAUAUGGGGUCAACCAGAAACAGCACCACUGAAAAGACCCACAUCGCUCCCUAGUUUUCAGGAGAAGGACACGUUCACGUCAAUAAUUCGAUUUUCUCAGCAGCAUGUACACACGGACAAGGAGAGAAGUCAGAUUCGGCGAAAAAAAACAACAAAUUUUUAGCUUUGUCCGAUUAAGCUGUGCAUGUAAACACCCUGACUGACAUCUAGGGUAUCCUGGUUAAUGCGCAAGCAUUCGCACUUCUCAGGAGCUCCAGCUUGGUUGACAGAUUACAGCCAUUAUGUUCAUCUGGAUACCACGACUCUUGAUGAAUUCACUUUAAAAAGUUUUUUAAACUCUAAUGACAUUGAUUUUCUGCCGGAGCUGCCCAUAUUGACAGUUAAUACAUCACAGAACUGUGUUCAGCCAGUCAAAAGAAAAAAAGAAAAAAAAAACUUCAGAGCACUUCGCCAAUCCUGGAAACAAGCCAGUGUUCCCCAGCUGUGUCGAGACCUCUACUAAGUGCAGGGAGAGAAAAAAAAAAAAGACUGCAGAAGAGAAAAGAGAAAGAGGGUACAAGGAGGAUCGGAGGUGAAGUGUAAAAUCAUUAUAAUUAUGCUUUGAUAUUAAAUUACCAUGUAUAAUUGAAAUAGAGUUAGCGCCACAAUCUUCUCCCCUAAUAGCAGCUAUACUGCACGGUUCUGUUCCAUAACUUGCAAGUUAUUACCUGUCCUGCAUGGAAUUAGAAGUCACACUAUCAUUAUAAAACCCAUUUACCCAUCACUUUCUAUAUUAGAUCCAGGCUGCACACACACACACACUAUGGUUUUAAUUACAACCCAGUGCUUAAUUCUUCCUCUGUGUACUCUUAUGGGUAGCCAAUAAUUUCGUUAGAGAAGGAUAUAACUUACAGUGAUGCCGCUUGGACAUGCCUGAAAACGACUCAACUUUAUUAAUUGCUUAUAAUUGACACAAACAAUAACGCUGCAUUAUAACAAUGGAGGACGGUAAGGCAGAUAAUAAGAUUCCAGAUCUGAGAGUGUUAUUAAGUGAUGUGCUAAAACACAUUACUUAAUUAAACUUGCACUGCACUCUGGGAAGUUUUUCUAUUCCCUCAAGUUGUUUCAUGUGCUCAGCUGCAACUCAGUGCAAGCUUGGUGUUGUUGAUGAACAGCAGCCGCAACGGAGGAAAAGUCUAUCUCUAGGUUAGAGGCAUGACUCCGCAUAAAAAUGGCAUCCUAGAGAGGGAAAUAGUGUUCCUUGGGAAAGAAUUGCACUGACUCUGUAGUGCGAAUCAUCAAAUGAGAUCACAAAUAAUUAUGAGGUUUGUUGUCAGUGAACUCAGUAUGUUGCUUAAACUAAAGGUCCUAACACACCGGGAACGACACGAAAUUACGAAAUAUUCGGAGGCGAAUUUUGAAGCACAUUAAACUAUAAUACAUAAAUGUAAGGUAACAACCGAGACCUAAUGGUGCUGUGACAGCAACGUGAUUGAGUUUGAGACAGUGAAAAAUACAUAUGGUAUGUUGUAUCUGAACAGGUUAGCUUACGAGCUAAAGUUACUUAGCACAGAUGAAAGUUAAAACAAAGACGUUUAGCAAACUGUUAAAGCACACAAACCAUCGUCAUAUGAGAAAUCCGACGCUAUGACUCUCCACAAGUUGUCCUUCAGGUCGUUAUCUUUGUAAUAU
Molecule: long non-coding RNA, 6481 nt
Filed under: Xyrichtys novacula (pearly razorfish)
Lineage: Eukaryota; Metazoa; Chordata; Actinopteri; Labriformes; Labridae
Source: RNAcentral